Molecule: ribosomal RNA, 435 nt
Filed under: uncultured bacterium
Lineage: Bacteria
Description: partial 16S ribosomal RNA
Rfam family: Bacterial small subunit ribosomal RNA
Source: RNAcentral
AGCGAACGCUGGCGGCAGGCUUAACACAUGCAAGUCGAGCGGGCACUUUCGGGUGUCAGCGGCGGACGGGUGAGGAACGCGUGGGAACGUGCCCUCGGGUUCGGAAUAACUCAGGGAAACUUGAGCUAAUACCGGAUACGCCCUUUUGGGGAAAGGCUUGCUGCCGGAGGAUCGGCCCGCGUCUGAUUAGCUAGUUGGUGAGGUAACGGCUCACCAAGGCGACGAUCAGUAGCUGGUCUGAGAGGAUGAUCAGCCACACUGGGACUGAGACACGGCCCAGACUCCUACGGGAGGCAGCAGUGGGGAAUAUUGGACAAUGGGCGCAAGCCUGAUCCAGCCAUGCCGCGUGAGUGAUCAAGGCCUUAGGGUUGUAAAGCUCUUUUAUCCGGGACGAUAAUGACGGUACCGGAGGAAUAAGCCCCGGCUAACUUCGUG